ACUCCUACGGGAGGCAGCAGUGGGGAAUAUUGCACAAUGGGCGCAAGCCUGAUGCAGCCAUGCCGCGUGUGUGAAGAAGGCCUUCGGUUGUAAAGCACUUUCAGUCGUGAGGAAGGUGGUAGUGUUAAUAGCACUAUCAUUUGACGUUAGCGACAGAAGAAGCACCGGCUAACUCCGUGCCAGCAGCCGCGGUAAUACGGAGGGUGCGAGCGUUAAUCGGAAUUACUGGGCGUAAAGCGCAUGCAGGUGGUUUGUUAAGUCAGAUGUGAAAGCCCGGGGCUCAACCUCGGAAUAGCAUUUGAAACUGGCAGACUAGAGUACUGUAGAGGGGGUAGAAUUUCAGGUGUAGCGGUGAAAUGCGUAGAGAUCUGAAGGAAUACCGGUGGCGAAGGCGGCCCCCUGGACAGAUACUGACACUCAGAUGCGAAAGCGUGGGGAGCAAACAGGAUUAGAUACCCUGGUAGGAUAGCG
Molecule: ribosomal RNA, 471 nt
Filed under: uncultured bacterium
Lineage: Bacteria
Description: bacterial SSU rRNA
Rfam family: Bacterial small subunit ribosomal RNA
Source: RNAcentral